AAUGAAUCUUUUGGCAUAUUUUUCCUUUCAAACAUGAUUGACUCGUUGCAUAUGUAAAAACGCAUAAUAGACAUGAAGUUAGGUGUUGAUUCUUUUAGAUUAGAAAUAAAAUGAAAUUAGCGUGACGCGGGAGUGUAAGGGAAUGAUUGUUUUGACUCCCAAACCCUCAACCCAAGACAUGCAAUUUGGAAACUUAAUCACCUAGUUAACCCCUACUUGAUUCUACAACCACCUAUGUGGCAUGCAUAAACAAGCAAUAGGAAACUUUAAAAAGGAGGAAAAGAAAGACGCCAUGACUUACCCGAUAUGUUAAUCCCAACUCCUCGACU
This 329-nucleotide long non-coding RNA is filed under the name Carica papaya (papaya). RNAcentral describes it as "long non-coding RNA (CPAP_LNC013045)". Lineage: Eukaryota; Viridiplantae; Streptophyta; Magnoliopsida; Brassicales; Caricaceae. The record is from RNAcentral.